AGAAGGACAGAGCUGCUACACCCCAUAUUCUGCACAGUUUUUGUCUGGGUGAGUGAGAAUGCCAAGACUUGUCUGAUGACAUGCAAGGCUGAGUCUCUGGCAGCAGCGAUGGUGUGUCCAGUUGGAGAGCGUCCGAUGGGCCAGGCAGGUGAGUCUCCUCAGUUGGGGAAGUGGCAGCCAGCAUCGCUGGAAUGGCCGACUCUGGAGUAAUCCGGUUGGAACGUCACCGUAGCCUUUCCCCAAGAGGUGACAGGAUCGUGCUGUGCCAGCCAUGUCAUUCCCAGCACCACCAGGAAUUGAGGCAAAUCAGCUAGACAGAACAACAUCCUUUCCAUGUGUCCCGGUAUCUCCACUCUCAACUCCACGGUGGCCUGAGUCACCACCCCCGACAUCAGGGACCACUCAUCAAUGGUUUCCACAGACAACAGGAUCUCGAGCUUGAUGAUUAGCAUGCUAUGCCUCUUGACAAAGUUCAAAUCCAUAAAGUUGCUGGAUGCACUUGAAUCUACCACAGCAAACACCUGAAUGUCUUGCCCUGUUGGCAAGCCUAGGCGGACUGGCAAAUGAAGGGCAGAGUUCAGAGUUCUCUCUCCACAAUUUCCAGGUUUCCUCCUACCUUCUCUCUUUUUUCUUUCUUCUGUAAGACUUUUCUGUCUUGUCCUUUGACACCUUCAACCUCUGUUCCCUUUCACUUGUAAUUUUACUGAGAUCUUCCCUUCAACACUCCAGCAUCUUGCUUCUUGCUGCUGAGUAAUGAUGCACAGCUGCUGCCAUCCUGCAGCGCCUUCCUGUUUGCAUUUGAGGGAGCUGCGAGAGGAGCAGCAGAGAAUGUAACCAGAGCAACAGCUCUUGCUAUUGUUUAACAAACAGACACAAGAAAGUAACAGGAGGAAACAAGAUUACAUUAAUGGAAUGCUUUAUUGUAUUUCAGAAAUCAAAAGUGUU
This is a long non-coding RNA of Rhineura floridana, 945 nucleotides long. RefSeq lists it as uncharacterized. The record is from RefSeq and is a predicted model, not a curated record. NCBI's taxonomy places the organism in Eukaryota, Metazoa, Chordata, Lepidosauria, Squamata, Rhineuridae. The transcript is spliced from 3 exons.